RNAcentral lists this ribosomal RNA (292 nucleotides) under uncultured bacterium. Its description in RNAcentral is "partial 16S ribosomal RNA". The record is from RNAcentral. RNAcentral also lists the same sequence under 1 other name.
GGACUACAGGGGUUUCUAAUCCUGUUUGCUCCCCACGCUUUCGUGCCUGAGCGUCAGUGUUAGCCCAGGGGGCUGCCUUCGCCAUCGGUGUUCCUCCGCAUCUCUACGCAUUUCACUGCUACACGCGGAAUUCCACCCCCCUCUGCCACACUCCAGCUCGCUAGUUUCCAUCGCAGUUCCCAGGUUAAGCCCGGGGCUUUCACGACGGACACAACGAACCGCCUGCGCACGCUUUACGCCCAGUAAUUCCGAUUAACGCUCGCACCCUACGUAUUACCGCGGCUGCUGGCAC